RNAcentral lists this long non-coding RNA (330 nucleotides) under Lathyrus oleraceus (garden pea). RNAcentral describes it as "Pisum sativum (pea) long non-coding RNA (PSAT_LNC035238)". The record is from RNAcentral. Lineage: Eukaryota; Viridiplantae; Streptophyta; Magnoliopsida; Fabales; Fabaceae.
UAGAUAAAUUAAUUCAAGAUAAUAUAUCCGAAUCCAAUCAUUUUCACACUUGCACCUCUAGGGUAACCCUCUCUUUGUUGCCUUACGAUAUUACGGUCAUGUCCCGCGAAUAUGGGGAUACCCUUAGGAAAGACCCUUUUGAUUAAAUCAUCAUCAUCCCUAAACAGAUAAGUCAUAGUCCCUUCUAUCAAAAGGUCAAUGUCCCUACAAGAUAAAUCAUAGUCCCUCGAACGUUGCCUUCGAAUAUAUGACCUUGUCCCUCGAACGUUGCCUUUGAAUAUAUGACUUUGUCCCUCGAUGACCCUUCGUUGUAGCCUACGAUUAAAUGAU